CUUGCCUGGCCACUGAACACAUCACAGCCUCACUUCAGUGUGGGAAGCUUCAGAAUGUGUUUAAGUUCUGGGUACUGGUCACUGACUUUGCAGGCUGCAUUGCUCUUAGCCUUACUGUUCCUCUCUUGCUCACACUGCACGCGGAGGCAAGGAGGGAUGAUAACAGACUUGCCGCUGUACUUGCUGUUCCCAUAACAAAUGGCAGGAUCCUCACAUAAAUUGUUUGAACAUGUAACACUGCUCUUAUUUCCUAAAGAUAAGGGCUCAGGAACUGCCCUUUUCCAAAAUGAAAGAAAUGAACCACAUGUUAUCUCUUUGUUUUAAAAAAUGAUCCCUGCAACUGCAACAACAAAAAGCCACUGCAACACUCCUUAGAGGUCUUGCAAACUUUUAUGGGAGGGAUUUUCAACUCACCAUGCCUGGCUUUGCUACCAUUUUCUCUCCUCGUCCCAGCACUCACAGCUCAAGCAUCCUGGAGCAGCUCUCAGGUGGGCAAAAUGAGCUGCUGAAUGCUUCACUGGUUUGGGCUGAAAAGCCCAGCAGGCCACCUGCACGGAUGUGAUUUGGCUCCUCACUCCACUUGCUGCCCAUCAGCCUUGAGCCCCAUCCAACAGGCCAUGGCUGGGAGGGAGUGUGGGCAGACAGGAGAAGAGGAAGAUUUACGUAAGGGAACAACGGGACGAGUGAAGGAAUUAAUGUAUUAGUUACUCUCUUCUGUUGGAUGCAUCACAAAGUUGGUCAAUGCAAGGAGGAACUGGGAGGAGAAGGAGAAAGAGCUAUGGCUGAAGGCAGCUCAGACAGGAGGCAUAGCUGGGCAAUGAGCAGUGGGAUGUGCUCGGCAGGUUCAGGCCACACAUGAAGUCUGCCCUUCUUGGCUAUUGCUGUCAGUGGAGAAAGACAAACCUUGAAAGAGCUGCAGCUGGAAGGGGACAUGUGAUCCUCUUACACCUAUGUUUGAGCAUGAUGAAAUUAUGGGGUCAAGGACACCUUGCAGAAGAAAUCUCCUGCUGGAAAAGAAGUGAGUUUACUUUCGUCCCAUACUGAGUUGCUGAGGAUGCUGCGUUCCCACUGCUGAGCCAGGUAGUCAUGCAGACACAGGGAGAGGGGUGGAAAACCUUUUGGCUGCCAGAAACCAGAUGCUGGAGCAGGUCCACCUACUGUACUCAAGAAACCAGCCUGAGGUACCACCCACGGGUGGAGACCAGCUCUUACAGGCUGGAAGCAUGUUCAAAAUGUUAGCUGCUUCUGUUGUGCUGGGGUGUUGCUAUUUUG
Molecule: long non-coding RNA, 1272 nt
Filed under: Numida meleagris (helmeted guineafowl)
Lineage: Eukaryota; Metazoa; Chordata; Aves; Galliformes; Numididae
Description: lncRNA (ENSNMEG00000020156.1)
Source: RNAcentral